UUCCUUCAUAUGAAGAAUGCUCUUCGGAAAAUACUUUUCAUUAAAUAGCUUUUGAAACUCUGCUCAAGACAAUUUAGGUGAUGAAUGAUAUGUACGAUUCAUUGAUUCUCACCAGUGGUCUACCUCUCCUCAUAACAUAAAAGUAGUGAAGGGAACCUUUUGAUCAUCAACGCAAUGCAGUACAUCAUAUAUCUUUGUCAUUUAUUUGAGCACGUCUUUGCCUUGAGUGGG
Molecule: long non-coding RNA, 231 nt
Filed under: Panax ginseng (ginseng)
Lineage: Eukaryota; Viridiplantae; Streptophyta; Magnoliopsida; Apiales; Araliaceae
Description: long non-coding RNA (PGIN_LNC015804)
Source: RNAcentral